AUGACCCAACUUUGUACUAACAAAGUUAGUACAAAGUUGGGUCAUCUAUUUUGGAACGGAGGGAGUAUGUUUGAAUGUCCAACCACCUACAUCUGUGAGCAUGCUGUUGGAAUGGUUGAUGGACUAUGUAAGAUAAAAAUUCUAACAGCCCCAACUUUCCUUUUGAGCAAAAUGGCAGCUGAUGAAAACUGGCUAUCACUGAAUUGUAUAGCUCCACCUGCAAGAAGUUCCUGCAAUUGGCGUACAAAUUCUUAUUUCAGCUUAAAUUUCUGCACUGCAAAAAUAAUUCAGCUUCAUGCCUUUAUUAUUUAUGCCAUAAGUAGAGCAGGAUUGCUCAGCAAGGAUGUCCACAAAGUCAAAAUCCGGCAGUGUAGGUGGAGUAACUUCUCCGUUUUGUUUACACUAAAUAUGUAUUGA
Molecule: ribosomal RNA, 417 nt
Filed under: Triticum aestivum (bread wheat)
Lineage: Eukaryota; Viridiplantae; Streptophyta; Magnoliopsida; Poales; Poaceae
Description: partial small subunit ribosomal RNA
Source: RNAcentral